GCCCCAGAGCACGUGGCGGCUGGAGGGAGGGGCCUCUUGCUUUCCGGCCACGCCCCCUUCAUGGGGUCGUGGGAGCGUGGAUUCCCCCAGCACACAGACACUCCCCCCGCUCGUCUCGGGCCCAGCUGCUCCCAGCCAGAUCCAGUCUGUGACCCCGACCCCGCUUUGGCAGCACCCCAAGGCCAGUCCAGCCGCUUGUGGCUUGGGUGCUUCACUGCUGUGGCCCCCUGUUGCCGCGUCUGAAUCCCUUGUGCUGGAUCCAGCCUGUGGGCCGGGGUGGAGGCACCCCUGCUCCAGGCGGAGGUGUUUUCGUCCCCAGGGCAGGAUGCUCUGAACCUGCUGCCACAUUUGCCCCGUCUCCUAGUGAGAAUCACGACAGUGGGGUCUCUGCCAACCGCCCCCCACACCUGGAGUCGUUCCCUGACGGAAAAGAUCCGCUUGGCUCUUGCAAAAACGUGCUUCCAGGCCUCCCGGGGGGGCAGACGACCCCCGAUCCCGGCAGGACAAAGAACAGUAGUCGUCAGGGCAGUGUAGCGCAACAGGCCCCUGGCUGCCUCCUCCAUCAUCCUCAGCUCCGGUCUCCUGUGUGCCUUCGUCCUCCAUCCACCGUUGAUGUCUAUAGGUCGCUUGUCCAUCGUCUCCUGGUUGUCCAGGCUCCCUUCUCCCCUCCUGGACCCCCAGGAGCACUUCCUCGCUGUCCACAUCGCUUCCGAUCUUUCCACGUGGCCCAGGCGCUGCCGUCUGCUCCCAUGUCCUGCGUCAGGACAACUGGCAGAACUCGUUAUUGGUUCGUACGCACCAUUCCUGUGUUGUGAAGCUGAACCGACCCAUUUCUAAUGUCUGAUGGUUUUCAGCUGCUGCUGCCAGACCUCUGGAAACACUCAGCUCGUUCUUGGCGCACAGCUGCUUGCUCGGUUCCUUUCCCUGCGAGCGUACGUUUCUCCAUGUCUCCGAUUCAAAAAGAAAGGGAUGUCAGGUUUGUUCCCCACAGCCGCAGAAGAGCUUAGUAGCUGUGUCUGGCUUUCGGCAUCGCAUAAGGAGGAUCUGCAACCCAGGGAGGUAGGAGAGAGAAAUGAAAUGAUGAAAAGAGAGGAGUGGAGGAAUUGAGGAGGAGCAAGAAAUAAGCUAGAUUAGUAGGUGUGGGAACUACAGGCCAAAAGGUGGAGAUAGGAGAAAAUAACAGUGGUUUAGGGGAGUCAAAUUAGCAGCAGCUGGGAAAAAGAUGGGGCGGCUGAACACUGCAAUGUGCCACAGAGCUUUCACAUGUGGCUCUGUCUAACCAGCCCUAUUCUUACCCCACCGUGGUGCAGAAUUACAAAUCAGAACUCCAAAAGAAAAGAACAUGAUACCACAGAGUUAACGCUGCCAUGGAUCUGGAGAGACGUGUUCCUUCUGGCCUACCUGCAAAGUACUUAUAGUCCUGACGAUCCUGCACUGAGCCCGGAUAUGCCUGUACUUACUGCAUGGUGAUCGAGAGACACAGCCAGGAAAUAAGUCCCACUCAUUCCUGCUCUGCAUUUGCCUCUUGUAAAAAAAUACCAUCUAGUCACAGUUGGGGCCAUGUUUGGGGCUGCUCUUAGGAUCUCUGUCUUGGGUGUGCUCCUGGGAGCGGGGUUGAGCGCUCCUGGCACUGCUUUAAUGGGGAUCACGUGAUGUUCUUCCAGCAUGUGAAACUGAAGCCAAUGGGCAGGCUUAUUUCUUGGCAGCGAUCUUGGGAAGCUGAGACAUAUCCUUCUUUUUACAGUGCAUAUUAGAGGGAGAGAGAGAGCCAUGAUCUUUUUCAUUGAACAAAGGUUUGGGAACCUGCAAAGGCUGAAAAAGAUCUGAAAAACAGUGACCUGACUCUGACUGGGAUUUCUUCCUGUUAUCACAAUAGGUAUAAUAACAAAUGUAAAUACAAAUGCACCCGCUCAAGCUCCUGCCACAUCACCAGACUAGCAAAACUUUUUCUGCUGAAGUGAAACAGUUUCAGUUUUGGGUGCUAAAUUAAAGAUGCGGGCCCUUGUCUUACAACCACAGAUGUAAGUGAUUUUACUCGCAUGACUAAAUUGCACAUCUGUUUAGCUCAACAGAACUACUUGGAUGAGUAAAGGUCUUUAUCUUUGUAAGUAUUUGCAGAAGUAGGGCCUUAGUUGGUACACAAUUACUAGUCCCUUGAGAAAUCUGGAAGCAACUCACCCACAUAGAGUUACUAUUUCAAGCAGCAGAUUCAUUGAGGCCCCCAGCCUGUGAACCCUUACACAUGAACUUAAUUUUAAGCACAUGGGCUGCCUCUAGUUUGUUAAUGAGUGAAGUCAGUAUUAGCAUUCAGAGACUUAAAGCACAUUUGUCUGUAGGAGCAGUGCUGUAUAUUUGGAAGGUUUUCUUUUCCUCCCCAAAAAGUAGGAAGCAAGUUUUUGUUUUGGAACUAAGUUUCAGGCAGGGCUGCAACCAAGUACCUGGCUCAAACCGUCUGUGCCUACAGACAGGGUAAAGAGCUCUCCAGUGGGCUAUUCUGCAGCUCCGCUCAUCCUUACAUAGAAACUGGAGCAGACUAGUCUAUUUAGACAAGUAUCCUUGCUCUGACAGCAACAGAGUUUGAAUAAUGCAUCUCGGAUUUGUUUUCAUGCCUCCUUUGUUUAACUGGGCUGCACAAGAGACCAGGAAGGUGCCUGAUGGCAUAUUUUAUUCUAUAAACCUUCCCUGGCUUACUUGGAUUGCCUUAGUAAUAGCUAAUAAUUGCUAUCAAUAUUAUGAAACAAUCCCGACCGGCUUCUGCAGACUUAUCUCUUCCCAUGGCAAGGCUCAGGCUAAAGAAUCCAGAACUAGGUGGAAGAACAACUAGAGCAGGACAGUAAACACAGCAGUGCUUCAGGAAAGAGGCCCUGUUACAACCGCAUUUUCCCUAGGCCUCAAUUGCUCUAAACCAGUGGCUCAGUCCUGAUGGACUCAGGAGCUACGUGAGAAGCCAGUGGAACCAGAGCCACAAAAACCUAGACACUUGGAUAAAAUGUGAGAAGCCUCACUAGUGCUUACUAAAUCUAUUAUGCACAUGCUUUAAACCACUGCAAAUAUGUUACCAAAACCCUGCUUUAUUGGACACAUAUAUGAGGAUCACUGUGAAGCCUAUGGUGCUGUCUGCUCGUUCUGUCAAAGGGGUUUCAAAGACACAGGUCAGGCUUUUGGUGUCUUUAAAAAAAUAACCAGAAAGCUCAGGGCAGACGUGGUCCUUCAGCCCCAGACAGGGCCGGCCCGUUCUAUCCUGCAGAAUCUGCGGGUGCAGGGGGCCCUGCAGCCAAGGGGCCGUGUCCCGCUUGCCCCCUGCCGCCUGUGCCAUGUUUAAAGGGUUCAAUGCAGGCAGGGAGCCUCUUCCCAGCUGAGUGGGGGAGGAGUCCCUGGCUCCUCUCCUGUCUUGCCCUGGGAGGAAACCCAGGCAUCCCUAGCACAUGCUGCCCCCACCCCGCGCCCCCCACAGUGCAGCCCAUGAGCAUGCAGCCCGGCCCCAACUAUUCUAUUUCAGUGAGUUUAUACCACAAUUAACUGCAAUUUUGAUUUUUUGAUGGAUCAGGGGGCCCCAAAACUAUAUCUUGCAGGGGGCCCCAAAAAUGGGGCAGUGGCCCUGGCCCCAGACAAGAAGAAGACAACUCUGAACAUGACUGCUCAUUUGCAUGUCUGAUGGAGCUUGGUGUUGGGCAAUGGUCUAACCAGGUCUAUAGCUAAAAGACCUGGAAGAGGAGUAAGGAAUCAGAACUUGUGGCAAAGGUGAUACCUUUUAUUAGACCAACUAGAUAUUUAAAAAAAAAAUUCUUUAUUUGCAAGCUUUUGGGCACACACACCUUUCCUCCAGCAUAGGAGAAUGCGAAGAUUGUAAAUUUUCUCUUAGGUGGAAAUGAAAAUUCAUAUUUCACAGGAGAGCUGAAGGUGUUGUAAGAUCUCCUGGUUGGAAUAGGUCAUUUGGUGCAAAUUAGGCUCAAAUAAAAGUUGGAGCAGCCUAUUUACCUCAAUGUUGUCUGGUGUCAAGCAGGAUGUUGAAUUAUGUUUCCUUCUGGUGGUGAUCUUUCAUAUUUCUCAGGAGAGUGGGGUGAUAGAGCGUUCUUCUGGGCAAGGAAUUUCUCUUGUAUUUAGGCAGCUUUGAGCUCUGUGAACAUGCAGGUUUAGUUGGAACAAUAGGUACAAUAGGAGCUGGGGUGUCAGCUUUCAAGUUAAAAGGUGGUGAAUUUACUUUCUUCUUGUAAAAUUAUGAAGUUUUCAUUUAAAAAGUGACUAAAUUUGAUCUCUUCCAUAUGGCUGGUCCAGGGAUGCAAGUUGUAGCCAUAUUGGUCUAAAGGCAAAAGGAAUCCGAACUCGUGGCUUGUGCCUGCAGACCAAUACCACUACAACCUGCAUCCCUGGAAGAGGAGUAAGUCAUUCACUGGGCUGAAAAAACCCCAUUCACUGUAGUGUGCCAGAGACGCACUGAAUUUGGCACAAGGUGGCUGCAUCAAUGCAAAUAGGGUCUGUCUUGGAGAGUAAAGGCCAAUAACAGAUACUGGUUAUAAGAAGGGGUAAGACUGCCCUGUUAGCUCGUCUAUCGGGUUAGUGCCAACAGCAUAGCAGCAGGUUCUGUCUCACAUGCUACAUUAAUUGAAUAAAAUACAUUUCUUUCUUCAGUCCCCAUCCCCAAAUCUAUCCAUACUAUCUCUUUCUUCUCAAGUCCUUCCAAACCGCGUUGACUGAUUAUUUCCUUGUGCUUUCCCCGCUUCCCCUAGUAGCUCUCUGAGGUGGUUCCACCUCAACACUUAUCUUUCUAACACUUUAUCUGUGGUGUUUAGGGCCAUGAGGAUUCAACGAAAGAGUUUAUACAAACAAGAAGGGAUCAAGACAUCUGUUUCCCCUGAAUAUUGGUAUAAAACCACUGGGGUGUAAGCCCAGGGAAAGCAGGAUAAGAGUUUAGAAAAAAAUAGCUAUGAUGUACAUGUAAACUGGCACAAGCAACCUGCUAGCGUGUCAUGCUGGUCUGCCUUGAGAAUAAGAACCUCACUGCUGUCAGCUAACAGAGGUCCUCCGAUAGCUGCACAGGGAGAGAUUCAGCCCCUGCUUAGGACCCUUGGGUGCUGGUUCUUAUCUAUACUUGAUAGCUGUUUGCUGAAGCUGUAGUUCACGAGGUGGGUAGUGGGGAGAGUGUGACAUUACACAAUACGAAUCAACAAAGAUCUGUGCAUUACACAGCACUAGUCAGAAAGACCGGCGCAUUACACAAUUCUGUCAUCAUAGAAAUACUACAGGCUGUUUACAGAUUUCUUUUAAUGCUUCUAAGCACUCUCCUGGAUCAUCCCAGUAGUCAUGUUUUAUUAUGGUGAGGGAAAAGGCUUCUUGUAUUGUUGCAAAAACAUUGCAUUAGAAAGACUUUUAAUAACUCAGGAACUCUACUCUUAACUUCGUAUGGGGGAUUUUCUUUAAAGAUGUAUUUUGAAAUCAUUGACAUUUGCAUACCAUGCAGCCCAUAAAAUGUAUUUAAUACUACAGCAUAAAAACGAGGGGGAGGGUUAUGACAGUUGCUAUAGAAACCAAGCAUUUACUAUUUAAUAACACCCAUGUACAGCCUGGCACUGACAAGGUAUUCCUGUCUUUGCAGUAAUACAGGUAUUUUGUUGCAUUCUAAGGAGUCGAUUGGUUAUAAAUGAAUGUGAUUGUGUUACGUCUACAAAGGUGCUUUCUGCAGCCAAUUCUGCUUUUUUUAGGGAACAACCAAUCCCAUAAGAACAAAGCAGCCUGUAGCAGGUACAGGUUAGUGAAAUAGGUCCUUUAUUGCAUGCUCAUUCUGGGACUCUGGCAUUAGACCUUUGGUUGGAUUCUGGCCCUUUGCUGCUCUACAGCUUUUGUUUCGUCCUGCUCAGAGGCUGAUUCCAGAGCACUGUUCUGCUUUCAGAGUCAGUGUUUCAAACGGUGUAAUGCCAUUUCCAGAAGUUCUGUCUGUGAAAGGCACAAUGCAAAAAAAAAAAUCUUCAAAGGGACAGUUAGUGCAGUAUUGUCCAUCCUAACUGCUAGAAAUCAGACCAAAAAAAAUGAUGAGUUUGAGUUAAAUGUCUGUACACUAAGUUCUUUUUACUUGUCCUUUGGUUUCUGAGCCUAUAAGCUGCACUUUGGCCACAUGUCCAAGCUUCCCUUAAAUGAGGGCUUAGAAAUACCUUUUUAUAAAACCUGAAAAAUGAUAUUUUCAUGCACUCCCUAAAGUCUAGCAGCCGGGGCUUUAAGAACAACACUGAAUCUCAUGAAACUUGAAAUAAACAUCACAAGACUUAGUAACGCAGUAGUGAGCAGUAAUGCAGGUAUGUAUGGAGGGAGAUACUCUUUCAGUGGUUGUUUAGAGUUUAGAUACCAAAGGUGAUGGGCUCUGUAGAAAUGCCUCCAAUUGCAGGUUUGCGGACUGGAGGUUGCAUCCUCCCUUGGCAAUUAUAACAGAUCCUGCUGGGUUACAAUCACAACAGUCCCUUGUAUAGUAAAUAGGGAGGUCUUGACAUCCUUUCCUGUUGUAAAACAACCAGCGAGAGGAAACACUGAGAGCCACUGCCUUGGAUACAUAAAUCUUUCAACUCCACCUUACACAUGGCUCGGCUGGUCUUGACAGGCUCAGAGGUGGAGAGCAUUAUCUCCUAUGGGACAUCACCAAAACCAGUCAUUCUGCAGUGCUGGAGUUGUCUUCUCCCUUCAACCCCCCUCUCCAGCCCUUAGAAACUUGUAUAUUAGAAACAAAUGCAUAUCUCAGUUUUGCUUCUCUCCUUUUUAACUAAAUCAUGAUUUGCUUUCUCCCAUACAGCCCUGUGAGACAUGAGUUAACAUCCCUGGUGAUCAGGACUCAUAGUAGAGAUGAUAUUUUUGUUAGACCAACAAGAUUUUUGCAAAAAAAAAAAUUUAAUUGCAAGCUUUUGGGUACAAACACCCUUCAUCAGACAUUGAAUGGAACACCCUUCAUCAGGUGUUCAUCAGGCACAAACACCUGAUGAAGGGUGUUUGUGCCCGAAAGCUUGCAAUUUAAGAAAAAAAAUUUUUUUUUUAAGAAUUUUUUGCAAAAAUCUUGUUGAUCUAAUAAAAGAUAUCAUCUCUACUAAGAGUCCUGAUUGCCUUUUGCUCGAAACCAGUACAGCUACAACCUGAAUACCUGACACAUCUUUGGUGAAGCACAGGUUAAAAUUGUCUUCUUGCUUUUCUCUCUUUCCACACCACCCACACACACCCACAGUCACACACACCCAUGCCCACCCUUUUUUUGAGUGAGGAAGAUCUGUGUCAUGGAAUCUGACAAAUUUGAAUUAACAAGCAGAGCAGAAUUGAGAGACAUGCUUUUUCUUUCCAUGGCUGAGAGAUCCAGUGUGACCACUGAUGAAAUAGAUUGGGUUGUGGUGCCCUCUCGUGGCCAUGUGCACUGCAUUAAAUGAAGCACGAAUCAGUUCUUUUUCGCUGGGAAAGUGCAUUUGGUAGUCAAGCUGACAACAAAUCUAUCAGCUAAAUAGUUUCAAGGUACUUCCAAGUAUGCUCAGGCAAUAGCCAUUGGCAUCUUUGCAUAUCAAAACAGUUAUAUUUGGGAUGAUAUUUGGGAGACUCUGCUGCUCUCCCAAUGUCUGAGGAAGAGCGUCUGUGCCCGAAAGUUUGCAAAGACCAUUUUUUCCAACUAUUUAGUCUGUCUAAUAAAAGAUAUCACAUCUGCCCAAAGAACCUUGCCUACCUUUGUCCUGAUGUAGCAAAUCCCCCAGUUUUAAAAAAAAAAAAAUACAUUCCCUCCCCUUUCCCUAACCAUUUCUGACUUUUUCUCUGCCCUUUCUAUCCCUUAUAAGUGGUUAUAAGUAGUACUAGGUAGGCUAAGCUAAGUUCUUGUAUGGUAUUAUUGUAGUAAGUCCGUUUUUAUAUUGUAAAUAAUAUUCUGUUAUGUUUGUAUUGAUUUUUAUUGUUUUAUAUUGUAUUACAUUGUAUUCCUAUAAUUUGUGCAUUGAUUUUUAUUGUUUCAUAUUAACAUUGUAUGAUUUCGGCCUGCAGUGUGGGUUGGCAUGCGUGAUGUCAAGUAUCCAUUUUGUGUGUCAGGUUCCCAUCUUGUUCCUAUCUUGUCCCCAUGCCCUGCUGUGUAAGUAUGUUGUAACCCAUGACUCACACCUACCCCUCCUAUGUAACUUGGUUCCUGAAUGAAUGGGGAUGAAUGAGGAUGCUUGUGAGACAAUGUCAGUAGGUCUAAAAAUAGCUCCCUCUCAAUGACCAAACCAUCAACUUGAUGACCCAGCCAUCACCCUGCAUUGACCCUCCCUGGCUCAAGAUUUGGAAGACAAAGACUGCUGCAGAAAUCAGUCAACCCACCAUCACAGACACCUGAAACUGCAUGUCCUUACCUAGGAGUGCACUUGCUCAGUACACCAGGGGCUGACUCUUGCCUGGGCAUGCCCCUGUCACUAGGGUCAUAGGUAGUCUGUCCCAUAAAAAGGGGUAGUGAAGACAGACCCAGUGGGACACCCUCUCCAUCAGGACCAGCACCACAACACCUAUCCACCCAGGGGCCUUGCCGGUGACUCCCUCUGGACAACGCUUGCUGGACAAAGACCCCUUCCCAGCCUGGAUAGGUAGCUAUCACCCCCACCCUCUCUUCAACCAAGGACUUGGACUCUGUUUUUCUUCCCUACCUGGACUCCAGCCCUUCCACUGAGUCUCUUUCUCUUGCUACCAUUGUGAGUGCUUGUGUGUGUGUGUCUGAGUGAACCAAUAAUUUCAUGGGGCUGUGUAGUGUGUUGUCUGGUUAAUAAACCUGUUAUUUUGAAACCCCAAA
This is a long non-coding RNA of Alligator mississippiensis (American alligator), 8764 nucleotides long. RefSeq lists it as uncharacterized. The transcript is spliced from 2 exons. Lineage: Eukaryota; Metazoa; Chordata; Crocodylia; Alligatoridae. The record is from RefSeq and is a predicted model, not a curated record.